GGCGCUGUCUCCAGCAGAGGCUCAGUGAAAUCGAAAUCGCUGUGAAGAUGCAGUGUACCCGCGGCUAGACGGAAAGACCCCGUGAACCUUUACUGCAGCUUGACACUGAACUUUGACCUUACUUGUGUAGGAUAGGUGGGAGGCUUUGAAGCUGGAACGCUAGUUCCAGUGGAGCCGUCCUUGAAAUACCACCCUGGUAAUGUUGAGGUUCUAACUCUGUCCCGUGAUCCGGGACGAGGACCGUGUCUGGUGGGUAGUUUGACUGGGGCGGUCUCCUCCUAAAGAGUAACGGAGGAGUACGAAGGUGCGCUCAGCGUGGUCGGAAAUCACGCGUAGAGUAUAAAGGCAAAAGCGCGCUUAACUGCGAGACCCACAAGUCGAGCAGGUACGAAAGUAGGUCUUAGUGAUCCGGUGGUUCUGUAUGGAAGGGCCAUCGCUCAACGGAUAAAAGGUACUCUGGGGAUAACAGGCUGAUACCGCCCAAGAGUUCAUAUCGACGGCGGUGUUUGGCACCUCGAUGUCGGCUCAUCUCAUCCUGGGGCUGAAGCAGGUCCCAAGGGUAUGGCUGUUCGCCAUUUAAAGAGGUACGCGAGCUGGGUUUAGAACGUCGUGAGACAGUUCGGUCCCUAUCUACCGUGGGCGCUGGAAAUUUGAGAGGAUCUGCUCCUAGUACGAGAGGACCAGAGUGGACGAACCUCUGGUGUACCGGUUGUGACGCCAGUCGCAUCGCCGGGUAGCUAUGUUCGGAAGGGAUAACCGCUGAAAGCAUCUAAGCGGGAAGCCUACCUCAAGAUAAGAUUUCCCUAGGACUUUAUGUCCUCUAAAGAGCCGUUCGAGACUAGGACGUUGAUAGGUUGGAUGUGGAAGCAUAGUGAUAUGUGAAGCUGACCAAUACUAAUUGCUCGUGAGGCUUGACUAU
Molecule: ribosomal RNA, 919 nt
Filed under: Escherichia coli
Lineage: Bacteria; Pseudomonadati; Pseudomonadota; Gammaproteobacteria; Enterobacterales; Enterobacteriaceae
Description: partial 23S ribosomal RNA
Rfam family: Bacterial large subunit ribosomal RNA
Source: RNAcentral